RNAcentral lists this ribosomal RNA (469 nucleotides) under Hygrophorus agathosmus. RNAcentral describes it as "eukaryotic LSU rRNA". The stretch from base 145 to 298 matches the Rfam family "5.8S ribosomal RNA". The record is from RNAcentral. Lineage: Eukaryota; Fungi; Basidiomycota; Agaricomycetes; Agaricales; Hygrophoraceae.
UUGUAGCUGAUCUUUUGUAGAUAUGUGCACACCUCUUGUSAUCUAUACACCCACAUGUGCACUUUUGUAGGCUUUUCAAGGCCUAUGUUUGCUUCAUACACACACACACAUUGUAAAAGAAUGUUAAUUGAUGAAAUUUAAUACAACUUUCAACAACGGAUCUCUUGGCUCUCGCAUCGAUGAAGAACGCAGCGAAAUGCGAUAAGUAAUGUGAAUUGCAGAAUUCAGUGAAUCAUCGAAUCUUUGAACGCACCUUGCGCUCCUUGGUAUUCCGAGGAGCAUGCCUGUUUGAGUGUCAUUAAAUUAUCAACCUCUUUUUAAAAGAUGCUUGGAUUUGGAGUGUUGCUGGCUUUAUAUGUUGGCUCCUCUUAAAUGCAUUAGCUUGUAGGCUUUGGUUUGAUAAUAUCUAUGCCAUCGCUGUAAUGCAAAAAAAAACAACCUUUUGAAAUUUGACCUCAAAUCAGGUAGG